CCCUGUUAGUGCGCAUCACUAACACUUCACCAGGCUAAUGUAUGUCUUAAUUUGUCUGGCCAGUGGUGUAACUCCUGUGUUGUCUUUGCAGUAAGCAGCAUCAUAUGUGAAGGCUCUGAUUCUCAACUACUAUGUGAUCGAGGUGAGAUCCGUAUUCAGCGUGCCAACUAUGGUCGUCGUCAACACGAUGUGUGUUCCAUUGGGCGCCCACAUCAACAACUCAAAAAACCAACUGCCUCAGCCAAUCCACCACCAGCAAAAUGGCAGAAAGGUGUGAUGGAAAGCGCCAGUGUAUCGUCAAGGUAUCCAACUCUGUGUUCGGUGACCCCUGUGUCGGAACCUAUAAGUACUUGGAUGUGGCUUACACCUGUGACUGAAUGAUAUCUUCCUGGGAACCUGAAGAUGUACAAG
Long non-coding RNA from Oncorhynchus kisutch (coho salmon), 411 nucleotides. RefSeq lists it as uncharacterized. The record is from RefSeq and is a predicted model, not a curated record. NCBI's taxonomy places the organism in Eukaryota, Metazoa, Chordata, Actinopteri, Salmoniformes, Salmonidae. The transcript has 4 exons.